AACAGUCCCUAAAUCCCACAACUACUUGAUCUUAUCUGAGCGGAAGCCGGCGGCGGCGAUGGGCUUCUCUCCUUCCUCGCGAGGCCGUGAAGCGGCUCGAGGUCGCUGCCCCUGCGUCGAUCUUCGCCGCAGGUUCUCGGUAGCGUCUCGCAGCGCCGCCCGGUGCGCGUGGAUCCUUGUGAGAAGCCCUGAUCCAACCCCGGUCCCGCGAUGACGACUGCCCGCAAUCGGAGCACAAUGCCCUUUUCUAUCUAGGGUCUCUCAAAUUUGGUUUUUCACUGUGUUGAAUCAUUGACAUCAUUGUCAGGUGAGUGUGAGGAAUAAUAUGUCUGCAAUACUUGGCGUUCCAAAUUCCAUCAUUAAAUUAAUCAUACAUUGUAUGGUAUUUGAUUUCCUAUGUUUUCUCUAUAGUCUGUACAAUGUUUGAUUAUUUGGAUUGUCACCGCAUGUUGGGUAUAACAUGAGAGUAUGCUUCACUUCUAUGGUGCUGUAGAUGAGAAGUGUCUAUCCUUGUGACGUCUUGUUAAACAAUCCUGUUUGUCAUCCAUAAAAGUUGGUAGUUUUCUGUUUUCCAGUUUGAUAUUAUUUGGACAAGAAUUCUAAGAGGAGUUCAAAAUUAUUGAUGUUGAUUUAAAGUUUUAAACUAUUCCCUUAUCUGUGUUUUCUUGUAGGUCAUUGAUCUGUGAAAGCAAUAUGUACAGUAUGAUAAGCCAGAUGAGCUGGUGUUAGAAUUUUUCUUUCCUAUAGAGUUUGGUUUGUUUCUGGAAUGGAAAUGCAAAACAUCCUAUUUGAAUUUGAUCUUUCAUCUUUUAGCUGUAGAACAGAGGAUAGUUGAUGAGAUGAGGACUAAUUGGUUCGAAUAUAUCGUAUUUAUAAGAUUUGAAGAAUUUAUCUUGCCAAUAUAUUAACUGUCUUUUCUGUUCUUCAUCAAUGAAAAAGGAAAAGGAUUUGAACAGAGGAUAAUUGAUGAGGAAUAGUUGGAUUGAAUAUAUCGUAUUUACAAGAUCUGAAGAACUUAUCUUGCCAAUAUAUGAACUGUCUUUUCUAUUCUUCAUUAAAUGAAAAAGGAGAAGGAAAAUGAAGAGGGUUUGAACAGAAAAUAGUUGCUGGGGAAUAAUUGGAUUGAAUAUAUCGUAUUUACAAGAUUUGAAGAACUUAGAAGAGGUUUAUGACAUUGUUAGCAAGACUGGUACAAUGGAGACACCUUCAAAUUCAAGUUGUGAAUUUCUUUGGCUUCUUGGUUUGCUUCAUUGGUUGUUUGUUUGCACCUAUUAUCUAUAAACCUACAACCUCUUUUUAGUAGCUUGCCACAUAGAACCUUUAAGGAUCUGGUUGCUUGUCCAGUUUCUUCUAUACAUUCCAUUCUAGAAAAGCGUUUGUAUUCUAACAAAACACAAGCAAACACAGAGGUGAUUCAUGAGGCUAACAAUGAAAAGCUCCAUUCAUUAGGUAAGUUAUAGUACUUAGCAACUCCUUUUUCAAUGUUCUUGCAACUGGUAUGAUGGCCCAUGAUUUAUCUCCUUUGUUAGUUACCAGCAAAAUGAUUAGUAAAUGCAAGUCCUAUAGGAAUUGUUAAUGAAUCAUGAUAGUAACUAUUGUCUGUUUUAUUAAUUGCAGGCUCUUGAUUGUAUAAAGUGGAGGAAUCACAUGUGAAAUCAUGCCAGGCUCUUGUUGGCAUUCCAAGCAUUUGUAUGCACAAAUGUUGUACUAGUUGAAAUGUAGGAAAAAAGAUCUACUUUUUUACUGUAACAUAAGAGUUGGACAAAAGAUCUACUUUUUUAAUGUAUAAUAAUAAUACAUGCCCAAUUAUCA
Molecule: long non-coding RNA, 1812 nt
Organism: Dioscorea cayenensis subsp. rotundata (Guinea yam)
Lineage: Eukaryota; Viridiplantae; Streptophyta; Magnoliopsida; Dioscoreales; Dioscoreaceae
Exons: 2
Source: RefSeq, a predicted model, not a curated record